This 483-nucleotide ribosomal RNA is filed under the name uncultured bacterium. RNAcentral describes it as "partial 16S ribosomal RNA". It matches the Rfam family "Bacterial small subunit ribosomal RNA", at positions 28 to 506 of the family's 1533-position model. The record is from RNAcentral.
AUUGAACGCUGGCGGCAUGCUUUACACAUGCAAGUCGAACGGCAGCGCGGGCUUCGGCCUGGCGGCGAGUGGCGAACGGGUGAGUAAUGCAUCGGAACGUGCCCAGUAGUGGGGGAUAGCCCGGCGAAAGCCGGAUUAAUACCGCAUACGACCUGAGGGUGAAAGCGGGGGACCGAAAGGCCUCGCGCUAUUGGAGCGGCCGAUGUCGGAUUAGCUAGUUGGUGGGGUAAAGGCUUACCAAGGCGACGAUCCGUAGCUGGUCUGAGAGGACGACCAGCCACACUGGGACUGAGACACGGCCCAGACCCCUACGGGAGGCAGCAGUGGGGAAUUUUGGACAAUGGGGGCAACCCUGAUCCAGCCCUGCCGCGGGGGGGAAGAAGGCCUUCGGGUUGUAAACCGUUUUUGUUGGGGAAGAAAUCCUCUGGGCUAAUACCCCGGGGGGAGGAGGGUACCGGAAGAAGAAGACGCGGCUAACUACGU